Molecule: long non-coding RNA, 629 nt
Organism: Carassius carassius (crucian carp)
Lineage: Eukaryota; Metazoa; Chordata; Actinopteri; Cypriniformes; Cyprinidae
Exons: 4
Source: RefSeq, a predicted model, not a curated record
GUUUAUGCCUUAUACCUGGCAUUGUAUAAUAAAUAUUGUUGUCUCUGUGACAGUAUGCUUAUGAUCCUAGGUUCUUCCAUGCUGAAUGGCUGUGCUCUAGAGUCAUAUCUCCUGUCGAAGAACAUUUUUAGACAUUAUGAACCAUGAAUAAGUUUAGCUCCAACCCCAGUUAAGCAGACCUGAGCAGCUGAUGAAGGAUCAGCAGAAACUCUGCAGAACAUUGGUCCUUCAGCCCAGGACUGGACACCAGUGUUAGUGUCUGUCUCAGAACCUAAAGAAAAGAGGCCACACCUUAUAGGAAAUAAACGCCUCCUAAGUGUACGGAAAUACCUGGCUGAGGAGAUCAGUGACAUAAACCAGAUAAAACUGUCAGUGGUCUGAGACAGCUACAAUGAAGCCACAAAAACAGUUCAUAGUUCCUGUAUUUCUAUAAUGCAUUAAUGAAUAACAAUAAUUAAAAUAAAAUGAAAUGUCAAGGUUUUGUGUUAAUUCCAGCUAUGUUGAGUAUUCUGUGAAUAAUUUUGAUUUUAGGUGCAUAUUCUUAAUUCUUUGCAAAACAACCUGAACUGUUUGCUAUUGAAAGGUUGGUAUGUAGUUUAAAUAAAUAAAAAAUUAUAUUCUUGACAAAA